UAUACAUAUACAUGUAAUCCUCCGAUAAAAUUGGAACGUUACAGAGAAGAUUAGCAUGGCCCCGGCGCAAGGAUGAAACGCACAAUCGAGAAGUGUACCAAAAAUUG
Molecule: small nuclear RNA, 107 nt
Filed under: Symbiodinium microadriaticum
Lineage: Eukaryota; Dinophyceae; Suessiales; Symbiodiniaceae
Source: RNAcentral